This 135-nucleotide small nucleolar RNA is filed under the name Canis lupus familiaris (dog). Lineage: Eukaryota; Metazoa; Chordata; Mammalia; Carnivora; Canidae. The record is from RNAcentral. RNAcentral also lists the same sequence under 1 other name.
AUUCUACACUUACUUGGCUGGCCGAUGAACUCACAAGUGUAGGUAGUGUGCUACAUGAGGGGCAAGUCUUUUCGCUAACACCACAAGGGUCUCUGGCCCAAUGAGUGGAGUUUGAUAGUAAUUCUUGCUACAAGU